Molecule: long non-coding RNA, 376 nt
Filed under: Bos mutus (wild yak)
Lineage: Eukaryota; Metazoa; Chordata; Mammalia; Artiodactyla; Bovidae
Description: lncRNA (ENSBMUG00000021373.1)
Source: RNAcentral
AUACAAUGGACAGGGUGGGGGAAACCGAAGCUUGGAAUCUCCAGCCUGCUAGCUCAGGUCUCCUGUUGCAAUGUUGCCCUUAACCUCACUGGACAUCAACUACACCAGAAGAGCAUUGGCUAUGAUCACUGGAGUGGCUCCCACUUCAGCUUUGCUGAGGGACCUCAGUUUGACACAGUGUGAGAAGAUGUUAAGAAGGUUCUGUGCAAGUAUAUGUGGAGGAAAAAAAAGAGAAACAAGGAGCUGAAUUUUCACUCAAUGCAGCCCCCCCUUGCUUAAAGAAAUAACUGCAGUACAGAUUUUAACAAUUAACAUUCCUGCAGUGGAUGUCGUUAUGGAUGGAGCUAAUAAAUGUUUUCAAACACUCCUCUGCGCA